CCUACGGGGGGCUGCAGUCGAGAAUUUUUCUCAAUGGGGGAAACCCUGAAGGAGCGACGCCGCGUGGAGGAUGAAGGUCUUCGGAUUGUAAACUCCUGUCAUUGGUGAACAAGGUUCUGCCGUUAACUGCGGCGGGAUUUGAUAGUAGCCGAAGAGGAAGAGACGGCUAACUCUGUGCCAGCAGCCGCGGUAAUACAGAGGUCUCAAGCGUUGUUCGGAUUCAUUGGGCGUAAAGGGUGCGUAGGCGGCGGGAAAAGUCUGAUGUGAAAUCCCGG
Molecule: ribosomal RNA, 275 nt
Filed under: uncultured bacterium
Lineage: Bacteria
Description: partial 16S ribosomal RNA
Rfam family: Bacterial small subunit ribosomal RNA
Source: RNAcentral